GACGAACGCUGGCGGCGUGCUUAACACAUGCAAGUCGAACGGUGAAGGGACUGGUUUUGCUGGUCCUGGAUGAGUGGCGAACGGGUGAGUAACACGUGAGUAACCUGCCCCCUUCUUCCGGAUAACCGCAUGAAAGUGUGGCUAAUACGGGAUAUUCUGGGUCUGUCGCAUGGUGGGCCUGGGAAAGAUUGCGCCUUUUUUGGUGUUUUUGGUGGGGGAUGGGCUCGCGGCCUAUCAGCUUGUUGGUGGGGUGAUGGCCUACCAAGGCGGUGACGGGUAGCCGGCCUGAGAGGGUGGACGGUCACACUGGGACUGAGACACGGCCCAGACUCCUAGGGGGGGCAGCAGUGGGGAAUAUUGCACAAUGGGCGAAAGCCUGAUGCAGCGACGCCGCGUGAGGGAUGGAGGCCUUCGGGUUGUGAACCUCUUUCGCCAGUGAAGCAGGCCUGCCUCUUUUUGUGGGUGGGUUGACGGUAGCUGGAUAAGAAGCGCCGGCUAACUACGUG
Molecule: ribosomal RNA, 506 nt
Filed under: uncultured bacterium
Lineage: Bacteria
Description: partial 16S ribosomal RNA
Rfam family: Bacterial small subunit ribosomal RNA
Source: RNAcentral